AAAUAUUCUUCCUCCAUGUCCGGCUAGCAAUGAUGGAUCUGAUCAGGAGGGUCAUGAGAAUGAUAAGGAGAGUGAGGGUGAUAAAGAGUAGUUGUAUCUAUUUGACAUUUUAGACUUCUAUAUUUUUGGAAUUGUUUAAUUUGAUCGUAUUUUAGUUUAUUUUGAAGUUGGAUGAAGUUUAUUUUGAAAUAGUUUGUAUAUGUUGAAAAUAUUGUGUUGUUUUGGUUGGAUGAAGUUUAUUUGGAUUUGGGUUGUUUUGGUAUAAAUAUGCAGGUGGGCAACUAAAAAUUGC
RNAcentral lists this long non-coding RNA (292 nucleotides) under Solanum tuberosum (potato). RNAcentral describes it as "long non-coding RNA (STUB_LNC003817)". The record is from RNAcentral. Lineage: Eukaryota; Viridiplantae; Streptophyta; Magnoliopsida; Solanales; Solanaceae.